RNAcentral lists this ribosomal RNA (305 nucleotides) under uncultured bacterium. RNAcentral's name for it is "bacterial SSU rRNA". It matches the Rfam family "Bacterial small subunit ribosomal RNA", at positions 335 to 658 of the family's 1533-position model. The record is from RNAcentral.
GACCUACGGGACGCAGCAGUGGGGAAUAUUGCACAAUGGGGGAAACCCUGAUGCAGCGACGCCGCGUGAGCGAAGAAGUAUUUCGGUAUGUAAAGCUCUAUCAGCAGGGAAGAAAAAUGACGGUACCUGAGUAAGAAGCACCGGCUAAAUACGUGCCAGCAGCCGCGGUAAUACGGAGGAUGCGAGCGUUAUCCGGAUUUAUUGGGUUUAAAGGGUGCGUAGGCGGAAUAUCAAGUCAGCGGUAAAAAUUCGGGGCUCAACCCCGACGUGCCGUUGAAACUGAUGUUCUUGAGUGGGCGAGAAGG